GAUUAACGCUGGCGGCGUGCAUAACACAUUCAAGUCGAACGAAGCGUUUAAGACGGAGACUUCGGUCAAAGUUUUUUAUGACUUAGUGGCGGACGGGUGAGUAACGCGUGAGCAACCUGCCUUCGUAUGGGGGACAACAGCUGGAAACGGCUGCUAAUACCGCAUAAUGCAUCGAAUUCGCAUGUUUUUGAUGCCAAAGAUUUUAUCGCUGAAAGAUGAGCUCGCGUCUGAUUAGCUAGUUGGCGGGGUAACGGCCCACCAAGGCGACGAUCAGUAGCCGGACUGAGAGGUUGAACGGCCACAUUGGGACUGAGACACGGCCCAG
This 325-nucleotide ribosomal RNA is filed under the name uncultured bacterium. Its description in RNAcentral is "bacterial SSU rRNA". It matches the Rfam family "Bacterial small subunit ribosomal RNA", at positions 28 to 334 of the family's 1533-position model. The record is from RNAcentral.